This is a long non-coding RNA of Cercocebus atys (sooty mangabey), 4594 nucleotides long. RefSeq lists it as uncharacterized. The record is from RefSeq and is a predicted model, not a curated record. NCBI's taxonomy places the organism in Eukaryota, Metazoa, Chordata, Mammalia, Primates, Cercopithecidae. The transcript is spliced from 3 exons.
UGGCGUCACUGCACUUCAGCCAGGGUGAAAGAGCCAGACACUGUCUGAAAAAAAAAAAAAGGAAGAGAAAUAUGAAAGUUUGACCCCAAUCGGAAGGAACAGGAGAAAUAGCACUCAGGUACAUAACAUUGCUCUAGAAAUAUAAUUCUCCACAAGUGCUAUGCAAGUCUGGCUGCUGAAACUGCCUGUUGUAACCUGAGACCAGUUUGCUCUACAGCUGCUGAGAUAACUUGCUGCAACUCUAGAACUAGUUUUGUCCACUACCAUCGCCCACCCAGCAGAUCUUGCCAGCUCCCCAAAACUUUAAUAACACAAAAGAACCUUCUCUCAGCCGCGCACAUAACAUUCUUCUUUUGUAUAAAACCCCCAACCUUCUCUUUGUACUUCAGACAUACUGAAGACCACCUGGUCUGCCUGUAUGUCCAAACUGCAACUAUUUCUUCCCAAAUAAAAUGUGAAAUUUAGACAGUCAUCUCUACAUUUUUAUGUUGACUCCAACAAUAUCAUUAUAGAUCUGCCAAUUCUGACGUCUGACAUAGCUGAGGAACUUUCAUGUUUAUGAUAAAAAAUUCUCCCCUCUUUUGAAAUCAGGUUUGAAUUAAAUUUUUGAUUAUUUAUCACAUAAGCAGCCUUAAUGUUUUUUCUAUUAUCCUGACAUGUAAUUUUUUACCUUUUUAAUAUCCAGAGGUCCUCAGAAUCUUGAAGGGCAGAGGCCUCUCUCAGUCUUUGAGUGCCCUGAUUCAAUCUAAUGAUUGCUGCCCACUGCAGCUCGAUCCAGUCCACGUUUCCUGGUGAGUCAGAGGUCUGAGCUCAGUAGAGUGGUCCCCAGUUCUUAGGAACGGUUUAAUGGGCUUAAGAGGCUGUGAUACUGAGGAUCCAAUAUCUUGGGUAAGACCAGUCCUCUGCUUUUCAUUCUUAAUUUCAUCACAAAAAUCAGGGUGAAACUCAAAAAGAUCUAGGAAUGACUGUUCUAGGGAAUGACUGUUCUAGAGAAUGACUGUUCUAGGGAAACACAUUAGGUCCCAGUGGCUUUAGCUGUGGAGUCAACUGUAGAGCCAAUCAUUUAGGAUAGGUUUCUAACUAUUGUUUCUAAGUGAUUGGCUGAACAAUAUAUGACCCGGACAUAAAAUAUGCUGGGUAAAAUCUAUUGUCCAUUUUGUUUCUUUUGGGAAGUUCAUCCUAAGUACUCAAGUUAACUUCAGAAGAUCAAUGAUUCACACAUGGCCAACUGUGCCCUGGGGGGACACUUGGCAGUGUCUGGAGGAAGCUGUUUUUUGGUUGUCACAACUAGGGGGAGAUGUUACUGGUAUUUAGUGGGUAGAGGCUGAGAUGCUACUAAAUAACCUAUUAGGUUGGUGCAAAAGUUAUUGCGGUUUUUACCAUUACAUUCAAUGGCAAAAUCACAAUUACUGUUGCACCAACAUAAUAUAAUACACAGGACAACCCAUAACAAUAAAUUUUCUAGCCCUAAACGUUGUUAAUACCAACCUUAAAUAAGGUAGUCUAGCUGCAAUCAUGUGUUACACUCCCUCUCAGUCUUCUAUUUUCUCUCAUGUGUGCUGGGUAAGCUGGGUGUUUACAAUUAUUUCUACUACUUCCUAGUUAAGGUUUUCAUUUUUCUUUGUUAUUUGGAGAAACAGAUACGUUUCAAAAUUGGCAUGAUAAUUUUUCUCUGGUGAAGUUAGGUAAUUUAAAAGGACUAUUACCUAAGCAAGUGGGAGCAGGUUUUACUUAGCUGCUUCCCGACUCCUUGUAAAGUAAGUUUCUAAGUACUGCCAUUAAUGUUUACAAGGUGCUGCUCAGUUAUUUUUUUUUAUUAUUAUUUUUUAAAGAUUCAACACUGUGUAAGAUUUUUGCUGCUUUACAGGAGCUCACAAUCUAGUAGUGGAAUUGGGAAAAACAUUGAAAUUACUUUAGUACAAGGGAGCACCUCUCAUGUAUAAUAAGUUACUGCUGGGGCCCAGAAAGAUAAUACCCCCAAAUAUGCUGCUUUGUCCUUCAAACUGAGAGCAUCUGGGCAGCAUCGCAUGUAGGAAAGGGCUUUCUCUGAAGUUGCUCUGCCUGCCUUAAAGGCUGAGCCCUCCAGAAGCUCAACUGUUGUAAAUCCCUUUCCCAGAGAGUUCAUCAACCAGGAGGGAGGAUGACACGUGACAGGAAGAAAGAGCAGAGUUGACGCCACACCAGAGCCCAGACAGACUUUGUCCCAUGCUGUGGUUGGUACUUUGGGCCCAUUCAUCUCCCCUAAAAAGUAUUUAUUCUUCCUCUACAAUUGCCUUCAUUUCCUACUUCCUUUUCCCCUAUGAAGGAGGAUACAAGCUUCGAAAUCUCAUUGGGUUAUUGGGUCCUCACUCUCCUGAGCUGCUCCCAUGCAUGUAAUGUAUUUAUAUGCCUUUUCUCCUGUUAAUCUGUCUGUUGUCUGUUUAUUUCUCAAAUACUGAACCCCCAUAGAGGAGAGAAUUCUCUUGCCCUAAUGUCACCUACUCCUGGGGCGAAUGAACACUGCUGGACAAACAUAACUACUCUCAAGGGCCACUCCCAGCUUGCCAUUUUCCUCUGGUGGCAUCUCUAGGACCACAGACUUCUUCAGUGCUCUUAGAAGCUAACAGGCAACUGCCUGUGGUGAGGCUGCCAGCUUUAAUCAUUCAGCUUCCCCUGUGCAAAGACAGCGAGGAGAAAAACGCAGCUCAGCAAGGCUGAGAGGGCAUGAAAUUGUGUUAAGCAGCAUUCAUGACAAUGACUGGAUUUGCUAUUUUAAACAUACUUCACUGUGGAAAACUAGUCACCCACUUAUUGCCAGUUUUUUCACCAACAUGCUGAAAGAUGUAUAUAUUCACUAGAUGAAAUGUGAUUGCAAUGAAAGAUUUCACCAUAUUCUUCAAUUCCGAAUCAAUAAUAUAGAUGUACAUUAUUGACUACCAACUAAACUCUACAGACAACAACGUGCAGGAUUGGCAUGCAGGAUUUGGAGCCAAGAUGGCUGACUAGCGGUAGCCACGAAGAAAAAUCUCCCACCAAGAGACCAGGCCAUGGAGAAAACUGGCACACUCUAAGCAGAUCUUCAGAAAGACAGCAUUGAGAGUGGACAGAGGAAGGACAGAGACCUUGGGAUGAAGGGGUUGGAAGUUGGGACCAUGCAUGGGGCUGCUGAGCACCAGGACUUGUCCCUGUCCCCCACUUCCCCGGUGGCUCCCAGGGAACUGAUGUGUUAAACUGGCCAGGAGUGGCCUGCUCUCACCAGGGACCUCCAGAAUCCUAGCUGCAAGAGACCCCACAAGCUCCAUGACACUUGGGAUGGCAGGGAGGGAAGUUUGGAGAGGGAGCAGGGGCAGGACUGUAGCUUGUGAGGAGCCCAGAAGGUUUGGCAUGGGAAGGGCUGCAGUGGAGCAUGGCCAGGAAUGCCUAUUUGCCAAAGCUUGCCAAGCUCUUCUAGGUGCCUUUGGCCUUUGGUAACUGCCAAACCUGGACAGAGGAGGGUAGUCUUGCCUAUGGGAUGGGGGCAGUCUUAUCUGAGCAUCCGCUUGUCUGCUGGCCUCUCCUAGGGCCCCAGCCUUCUCAUCCCAACUUGCAUUUCAGCCCUCAGCCUUGGUUGCCCAAGUAGGGUGCUUCCUGGGAUCCAUCAUUAUAGCUCCUUCACUGGAAGACCACACCUAGCAGACCAUGCCUAACCAUUGUAGAGUUCCAGCAGACCGCCCCCCACCGAUGUGCAGCCACCCACUUGCAGCCUCCCUUGACUGAACCUCACUCCAUCGCUUUGCCAUCAUGCACUUUUCCAUGAGUCCAGCCCUUCCCUAUGAACCACUUUGCUGGCACAUGUGCAUAAGCAGACCUCCCCUCCCCUGAUCUCCUGUCAUGUGCACAUGCACCGUGUUGCCCCACUGCUGCUGGCACAAGUGUGCACACACUGACACUGCUGCCUCUUUUCUGACAAUGCAUGAAGGCCAGCAUACUGCCCCCACUGGUGCCCUGGCCCUGCCAACAUGUGGACACUCCACUGCACCAUCACUCUUAUUGAUGUGUGUGCAGGUGUGGGUCCUACUGCCAUCAUCCCGAAGAAGGACUGUGGCUGGGACCCCACAUUAGAGGGUUGUUGCCAGGGUACCAGAAACAUUUUAGCUUCCACCCAGCGCUGGAGGUGUCUAACCUCAAGGGGCCAAAGAAUAAAGCCAGGAACCCAGUACCAGCCCCUCAAGACUAGAGCACACAGUUUAGAAGUGAUGAGCCCUUUUACCUCCACCCGCCAAAAUCUUCCAAGAUGAAGCCAGUUGAUUGAAUCCACCUUACAUCACAAUUAGACCCUCAAGGGCAUCAAAGAUAAACGCAAAACACAAAUCCAAAACCCAUCCAAAAGACAGCAACUUCAAAUAUUAAGGGACAAUCAGCCCACACAGCUAAAACAACACCAGUAUAAGAACUCUGGCAACUCAAAGAGCUACAGUGUCUUCUUACCUCCAAACAACCAUACUAGUUAACCAGCAGUGGUUAUUAACAACAUUGAAAUGGCUAAAAUGACAGACAUAUAAUUCAGAAUCUGGAUAGAAAUGAAGAUCAUUGAGAGUCAGGAGAAAAUUGAAACCCAAUCCAAGGAGUCUAAGGA